CCCAUUAAGAAGAGCUUGGCGGGCCGCGGUCACUGCAGGCCCCCGGGAAAGCGGACCGGCCAUCGACCCAGCGGGGACCACCGAUCUUCGGCGGAGGGAGCAGCGCCGGGGUGCACGCUUGGCACCAUGGCCCAGACGCCAGCUUUCGACAAGCCCAAAGUAGAACUGCACGUCCAUCUGGAUGGAGCCAUCAAGCCUGAAACCAUCUUAUAUUAUGGCAGGAAGCGGGGCAUCGCCCUCCCUGCCAACACACCAGAGGAGCUGCAGGACAUCAUCGGCAUGGACAAGCCACUCAGCCUCCCGGGCUUCCUGGCCAAGUUCGACUACUACAUGCCCGCCAUCGCGGGCUGCCGGGAGGCCAUCAAAAGGACUGCCUACGAGUUUGUGAAGACGAAGGCCAAGGAGGGCGUGGUGUACGUGGAGGUGCGCUACAGCCCGCACCUGCUGGCCAACUCCAAAGUGGAGCCGAUCCCCUGGAACCAGGCUGAAGGGGACCUCACCCCGGAUGAGGUGGUGCACCUAGUGGGCCAGGGCCUGCAAGACGGAGAGCGAGACUUCGGGGUGAAGGUGCGGUCCAUCCUGUGCUGCAUGCGCCACCAGCCCAGCUGGUCCCCCGAGGUGGUGGAGCUGUGUAAGAAGUACCGGCAGCAGACCGUGGUGGCCAUCGACCUGGCCGGAGAUGAGACCAUCCAAGGCAGCAGCCUCUUCCCUGAACACGUGAAGGCCUAUGCGGAGGCCAUGAAGAGCGGCAUCCACCGCACGGUCCACGCCGGGGAGGUGGGCUCGGCCCAGGUGGUGAGAGAGGUGAGUGGCCGGGCUGGCGGCGGGGGCCCUUCUCCCCGCUCGCCCCGCGGCCUGCGCUGGGCUCCACCCUGCUUGUCAACAGGCCGUGGACACGCUCAAGACCGAGAGGCUGGGGCACGGCUACCACACCCUGGAGGACCCGGUCCUUUACAACAGGCUGCGGCAGGAAAACAUGCACUUCGAGGUUCAAAAAAGACCAGGCUAACUACUCCCUCAACACGGAUGACCCACUCAUCUUCAAGUCCACCCUGGACACUGAUUACCAGAUGACCAAACAGGACAUGGGCUUCACUGAAGAGGAGUUUAAAAGACUGGUGAGUGGCUGUGUGCCUUGACUCUGGGCCCUGGGAGUGUGUGAGGCCUGCAGGUCCUGUCCAGGGCCCGGAAGCCCCGGAGAAUGAGGGGUGAGUCUGCUGCAACAGGCCAGGCCAAGGCAGACCUGGAGUUCGAUGCCUUCCACAGAGAAGACAUCUUCGGCUGAGAUCCUGACCUAGGACUGGGUUUUUUAUCCUCUGCUUCCAUCAAGUGCCUUGAAAGACUCUGAAAGCUGUCAACCAUCUCCCCAGAAAGGUGUGCUCGGCUAUACAUUCUGCACACACUUUUCAGGCCACUCACAGACCCCAGGAUGAGCCCGUGAUUUCAGUGGUUCUGAUGUCCCAAGUCUGUCCCUGCAGGACUGUCUCUCUGGCGCCACACAUCCCACCCUGUCUCUCAAAGGUUUCUCCAACCUCCUUCCCACAUCUGUGUAUCACGUCCUGCCACUUUAAGAACGCAGAAGCUCAUAGUCUCUGCUCUGGCACUUGCUGCCGCGUGACCUUGGACAAGUCCUCCCCACUCUGAGCUGAACGAAUUGCCCAUGUUUGAUGAAGAGGACGGACUGUCACUAGAUUGCUAAGGACUCCCUUCUAUGCUCUCUGGCUUCACGCUGUCUGCCGUGCUGGCCCUUCCAGAACAUCAAUGCGGCGAAGUCCAGUUUCCUCCCAGAAGAUGAGAAGAGGGAGCUUCUUGAUCUGCUCUAUAAAGCCUAUGGGAUGCCACCUUUGGCCUCUGCAGGGCAGCGUCCCUGAAGACAUCGUGGCCACCUCUCAGAGUCCUCAC
Molecule: RNA transcript, 1902 nt
Organism: Balaenoptera acutorostrata (minke whale)
Lineage: Eukaryota; Metazoa; Chordata; Mammalia; Artiodactyla; Balaenopteridae
Gene: ADA
Gene name: adenosine deaminase
Exons: 9
Source: RefSeq, a predicted model, not a curated record